Molecule: ribosomal RNA, 253 nt
Filed under: uncultured bacterium
Lineage: Bacteria
Description: partial 16S ribosomal RNA
Rfam family: Bacterial small subunit ribosomal RNA
Source: RNAcentral
GACGUAGGGCGCGAGCGUUGUCCGGAUUUAUUGGGCGUAAAGAGCUCGUAGGCGGUCUGUCGCGUCGAAUGUGAAAACCCGGGGCUCAACUCCGGGCUUGCAUUCGAUACGGGCAGACUAGAGUUCGGUAGGGGAGACUGGAAUUCCUGGUGUAGCGGUGAAAUGCGCAGAUAUCAGGAGGAACACCGGUGGCGAAGGCGGCCCACUGGUCCGGUACUGACGCUGAGGUGCGAAAGCGUGGGGAGCAAACAGG